Molecule: ribosomal RNA, 468 nt
Filed under: uncultured bacterium
Lineage: Bacteria
Description: partial 16S ribosomal RNA
Rfam family: Bacterial small subunit ribosomal RNA
Source: RNAcentral
GACGAACGCUGGCGGCGUGCUUAACACAUGCAAGUCGAACGGAAAGGCCCUGCUUUUGUGGGGUGCUCGAGUGCCGAACGGGUGAGUAACACGUGAGUAACCUGCCCUUGACUUUGGGAUAACUUCAGGAAACUGGGGCUCAUACCGGAUAGGAGCUCCUGCUGCAUGGUGGGGGUUGGAAAGUUUCGGCGGUUGGGGAUGGACUCGCGGCUUAUCAGCUUGUUGGGGGGGUAGUGGCUUACCAAGGCUUUGACGGGUAGCCGGCCUGAGAGGGUGACCGGCCACAAUGGGACUAAGAUACGGCCCAGACUCCUACGGGAGGCAGCAGGGGGGAAUAUUGCACAAUGGGCGGGAGCCUGAUGCAGCAACGCCGCGUGCGGGAUGACGGCCUUCGGGUUGUAAACCGCUUUCGCCUGUGACGAAGCGGGAGUGACGGUAAUGGGUAAAGAAGCACCGGCUAACUACGUG